This 501-nucleotide ribosomal RNA is filed under the name uncultured bacterium. RNAcentral's name for it is "bacterial SSU rRNA". It matches the Rfam family "Bacterial small subunit ribosomal RNA", at positions 19 to 518 of the family's 1533-position model. The record is from RNAcentral.
AUGGCUCAGGAUGAACGCUGGCGGCGUGCUUAACACAUGCAAGUCGAACGAAGUCUUCUAGACAGAUCCUUCGGGAUGACGACUAGAUGUACUUAGUGGCGGACGGGUGAGUAACGCGUGGGUAACCUGCCUCAUACAGGGGGAUAACAGUUGGAAACAGCUGCUAAUACCCCAUAAGCGCACAAUGUCGCAUGACAAAGUGUGAAAAACUCCGGUGGUAUGAGAUGGACCCGCGUCUGAUUAGCUAGUUGGUGAGGUAACGGCCCACCAAGGCGACGAUCAGUAGCCGACUUGAGAGAGUGAUCGGCCACAUUGGGACUGAGACACGGCCCAGACUCCUACGGGAGGCAGCAGUGGGGAAUAUUGCACAAUGGGGGAAACCCUGAUGCAGCCGACGCCGCGUGAGUGAUGAAGUAUUUCGGUAUGUAAAGCUCUAUCAGCAAGGAAGAUAAUGACGGUACUUGACUAAGAAGCCCCGGCUAAAUACGUGCCAGCAGCCGC